CCUACGGGUGGCUGCAGUGGGGAAUUUUCCGCAAUGGGCGAAAGCCUGACGGAGCCAGACCGCGUGAGGGAAGAAGGCUCUAGGGUUGUAAACCUCUUUUAUCAGGGAAGAAGAAAGUGACGGUACCUGAAGAAAAAGCCUCGGCUAACUCCGUGCCAGCAGCCGCGGUAAGACGGAGGAGGCAAGCGUUAUCCGGAAUGAUUGGGCGUAAAGAGUCCGUAGGUGGAACUUCAAGUCUAUUGUUAAAGAGCAAAGCUUAACUUUGUAAAGGCAGU
This 275-nucleotide ribosomal RNA is filed under the name uncultured bacterium. RNAcentral describes it as "partial 16S ribosomal RNA". It matches the Rfam family "Bacterial small subunit ribosomal RNA", at positions 338 to 627 of the family's 1533-position model. The record is from RNAcentral.